GAUGAACGCUGGCGGCGUGCCUAAUACAUGCAAGUCGAGCGAACGGACGAGAAGCUUGCUUCUCUGAUGUUAGCGGCGGACGGGUGAGUAACACGUGGAUAACCUACCUAUAAGACUGGGAUAACUUCGGGAAACCGGAGCUAAUACCGGAUGAUAUUUUGAACCGCAUGGUUCAAGAGUGAAAGACGGUCUUGCUGUCACUUCUAGAUGGAUCCGCGCUGCAUUAGCUAGUUGGUAAGGUAACGGCUUACCAAGGCAACGAUGCAUAGCCGACCGGAGAGGGGGAUCGGCCACACUGGAGCGGAGACACGGUCCAGACUCCUAGGGGAGGCAGCAGUAGGGAAUCGUCGGCAAGGGGCGAAAGCCUGACGGAGCGACGCCACGUGAGUGAUGAAGGUCUGCGGAUCGUAAAACUCUGUUAUUAGGGAAGAACAUUUGUGUAAGUAACUGUGCACAUCUUGACGGUACCUAAUAAGAAAGCCACGGCUAACUACGUG
RNAcentral lists this ribosomal RNA (497 nucleotides) under uncultured bacterium. RNAcentral's name for it is "partial 16S ribosomal RNA". It matches the Rfam family "Bacterial small subunit ribosomal RNA", at positions 28 to 507 of the family's 1533-position model. The record is from RNAcentral.